This 515-nucleotide ribosomal RNA is filed under the name uncultured bacterium. Its description in RNAcentral is "bacterial SSU rRNA". It matches the Rfam family "Bacterial small subunit ribosomal RNA", at positions 26 to 518 of the family's 1533-position model. The record is from RNAcentral.
AGGACGAACGCUGGCGGCGUGCCUAACACAUGCAAGUCGAACGGGGAUUUGUUUCGGCAGAAUCCUAGUGGCGAACGGGUGAGUAACGCGUAGGCAACCUGCCCUCCGGCCGGGGACAACACUCCGAAAGGGGUGCUAAUACCGGAUACGAAGUCUGUGCCGCAUGGUACGGAUUUGAAAGAUGGCCUCUAUUUAUAAGCUAUCGCCGGGGGAUGGGCCUGCGUCCGAUUAGCUGGUUGGUGGGGUAACGGCCUACCAAGGCGACGAUCGGUAGCCGGUCUGAGAGGAUGAACGGCCACAUUGGGACUGAGACACGGCCCAGACUCCUACGGGAGGCAGCAGUGGGGAAUCUUCCGCAAUGGGCGCAAGCCUGACGGAGCAACGCCGCCGUGAGUGAGGAAGUUCUUCGGAACGUAAAGCUCUGUUGUUCCUGACGAACCUCCCCUUUAUCAACAACGGAGGGGACUGACGGUAGGGAACGAGGAAGCCACGGCUAACUACGUGCCAGCCGCAGC